Molecule: non-coding RNA, 848 nt
Organism: Cricetulus griseus (Chinese hamster)
Lineage: Eukaryota; Metazoa; Chordata; Mammalia; Rodentia; Cricetidae
Source: RefSeq, a predicted model, not a curated record
UUUCUUUUUUCUUCUGUAUCGAAUUUAAUAUUGUAUCCCAAGGAUCUAGAAAUGUUUUCAGCACAUUGUAAACACUCAAUAAAUACUUGUGGGAUGAAUGAACGAAUGAAUGAGUCUGGGGCAUCUCUGCAGGCCAAGCAAUCUUUAAUUCGGACGGAGUAGCGCUGCCAUCUGGUGUCCGAAACUUGAAAUUGCAAGUACAAAUUCCAGGGUGCGAAGAAGACUCCAGGGGACCAACCAGUCUUGUGAGUUGAAUCCUGUUCAAUGUUUCAAAUGCCACCACCUGACUUCAAACAUCUCAAAGACCCACACACUGUGACUUUUUGUCUUGUUUUGUUUUUGCCUGUUUUGUGCCCCUAUUCGGAAGACCUGGUCAACCCCACCAAGAGUUUGCUCCGAUGUUUCUAAAAUCAAUUGUGCACGGAAAUACUUCCUUCCUGGAAGAAGGAGUCAUGAGAAGAGUUCAGUGCUGAGCGAGAAUGAAAGUGGGAGGCAGGACCAUGUGUUAUGAGGGACCAGUGAAAAAGCCUGAGGGGAGGGAGGGACAGAGGCAAAAAGCCUUUGAGACCAGACCUAGUUUCAACUUGACUGUGAGUCUACUUCAAGCCUUUGAGACCAGACCUAGUUCCAACUUGACUAAACAAUAGACAAUGUCACAAUGUUGAAUGCGGGUGGAUGCUACAUUACAGUUCAGUCACCAAGAGUCAAGAGACCUCUAGGGGGACCUGAGUCCCAUUCCCAACAGAGGAUCACAACGCUUGGUUAACUCCAGCUCCAGGACAUCUGAUACCUUCUUCUGGCUUCCUCUGGAUCCUGAACAUGCAAGGCAAAUAUCCACAUGAAAUUCA